GACGAACGCUGGCGGCGUGCCUAAUACAUGCAAGUCGAGCGGACAGACGGGAGCUUGCUCCCUGAUGUUAGCGGCGGACGGGUGAGUAACACGUGGGUAACCUGCCUGUAAGACUGGGAUAACUCCGGGAAACCGGGGCUAAUACCGGAUGGUUGUCUGAACCGCAUGGUUCAGACAUAAAAGGUGGCUUCGGCUACCACUUACAGAUGGACCCGCGGCGCAUUAGCUAGUUGGUGAGGUAACGGCUCACCAAGGCAACGAUGCGUAGCCGACCUGAGAGGGUGAUCGGCCACACUGGGACUGAGACACGGCCCAGACUCCUACGGGAGGCAGCAGUAGGGAAUCUUCCGCAAGGGACGAAAGUCUGACGGAGCAACGCCGCGUGAGUGAUGAAGGUUUUCGGAUCGUAAAGCUCUGUUGUUAGGGAAGAACAAGUGCCGUUCAAAUAGGGCGGCACCUUGACGGUACCUAACCAGAAAGCCACGGCUAACUACGUG
Molecule: ribosomal RNA, 497 nt
Filed under: uncultured bacterium
Lineage: Bacteria
Description: partial 16S ribosomal RNA
Rfam family: Bacterial small subunit ribosomal RNA
Source: RNAcentral